UUCAGGGAACGUUAAUGGCGGCGAGCGGCGGACGGGUGAGUAAUGCCUGGGAAUAUGCCCUGAUGUGGGGGAUAACUAUUGGAAACGAUAGCUAAUACCGCAUAAUCUCUUCGGAGCAAAGAGGGGGACCUUCGGGCCUCUCGCGUCAGGAUUAGCCCAGGUGGGAUUAGCUUGUUGGUGAGGUAAUGGCUCACCAAGGCAACGAUCCCUAGCUGGUCUGAGAGGAUGAUCAGCCACACUGGAACUGAGACACGGUCCAGACUCCUACGGGAGGCAGCAGUGGGGAAUAUUGCACAAUGGGGGAAACCCUGAUGCAGCCAUGCCGCGUGUGUGAAGAAGGCCUUCGGGUUGUAAAGCACUUUCAGUAGGGAGGAAGGUAGUGUAGUUAACACCUGCAUUAUUUGACGUUACCUACAGAAGAAGCACCGGCUAACUCCGUGCCAGCAGCCGCGGUAAU
This 457-nucleotide ribosomal RNA is filed under the name Photobacterium damselae. Its description in RNAcentral is "bacterial SSU rRNA". It matches the Rfam family "Bacterial small subunit ribosomal RNA", at positions 79 to 524 of the family's 1533-position model. The record is from RNAcentral. Lineage: Bacteria; Pseudomonadati; Pseudomonadota; Gammaproteobacteria; Vibrionales; Vibrionaceae.